GUGAGGUGACUAAUUGCCGUCAGUGGACAAAGUGAGAGCUUGUCUCUCUGGGUUAAUUAGAGAUUUUCUUCCUCUUGGUUAGUUGGUUUUUCUUAAGUUGUUGAUCACGGCCGUCCCCUGCUCUCAUCGGGUGGGGGCUGCAAAUCCCCAGACCGGAGACAGGUCCAUCCCUCCCCUUCUCUGGUUUUGGUUUGCCAACAGAUGGUAUUACUAUUGGUUUUGUUUUAUUGUGCAGAUCUAGUGCUAAUGGGAGAGGGUCUGUGAUAGAAUCUGCUGCUUGUGAAGUUCCAGUGUUGGUUUCCAAGGGAUCUCCUUAUUUCGGCAAGCAUCUCAAGAGUAUUUCUAGUAUUAAUCAUCUGGCUACUGAGAUCCGAUCCUUUUGGUUAUAUGAGAGUGACAAGUCUGAGCUCUG
RNAcentral lists this unclassified non-coding RNA (412 nucleotides) under Hevea brasiliensis (rubber tree). The record is from RNAcentral. Lineage: Eukaryota; Viridiplantae; Streptophyta; Magnoliopsida; Malpighiales; Euphorbiaceae.